RNAcentral lists this ribosomal RNA (497 nucleotides) under uncultured bacterium. RNAcentral's name for it is "partial 16S ribosomal RNA". It matches the Rfam family "Bacterial small subunit ribosomal RNA", at positions 28 to 507 of the family's 1533-position model. The record is from RNAcentral.
GACGAACGCUGGCGGCGUGCCUAAUACAUGCAAGUCGAGCGAACAGGCGAGAUGCUUGUUUCUCCGAUGUUAGCGGCGGACGGGUGAGUAACGCGUGGAUAAUCUACCUAUAAGAGGGGGACAAUUUUGGGAAACGGGAGCUAAUACCGGAUGAUAUCUUGAAACACAAGGUUCAAAAGUGAAAGACGGUCUUGCUGUCACUAAUAGAUGGAUCGCGGCUGCUUUAGCUAGUUGGGAAGGUAACGGCCUACCAAGGGAAGGAUGCAUAGCCGACUGGAGGGGGGGAUCGCCGACAUGGGAACGGGACCCGGCUCAAGCCUCCUACGGGAGGCACCAGAAGGGAAUCUGCGGCAGUGGGCGAAAGCCUGACGGAGCAAGGCGGCGUGAGUGAUGAAGGUCUUGGGAUCGUAAAACUCGGUUAUUGGGGAAGAACAUAUUUGGAAGUAACUGUGCACAUCGUGACGGUACCUAAUCAGAAAGCCACGGCUAACUACGUG